RNAcentral lists this unclassified non-coding RNA (305 nucleotides) under plant metagenome. Its description in RNAcentral is "partial contains 5.8S ribosomal RNA, internal transcribed spacer 2, and large subunit ribosomal RNA". The stretch from base 1 to 105 matches the Rfam family "5.8S ribosomal RNA", at positions 50 to 154 of the family's 154-position model. The record is from RNAcentral.
GAAAUGCGAUAAGUAGUGUGAAUUGCAGAAUUCAGUGAAUCAUCGAAUCUUUGAACGCACAUUGCGCCCUUUGGUAUUCCUUAGGGCAUGCCUGUUCGAGCGUCAUCUAAACCUUCAAGCCCUGCUUGGUGUUGGGUGCCUGUCCCGCUUCCGCGCGCGGACUCACCUCAAAUCCAUUGGCGGCCCCCGCGUCGGCCACGAGCGCAGCAGAAACGCGAACUCGUGAGCCCGUCCGGGCGGCUCCCAGAAGCUACACCCACCCAGUUUGACCUCGGAUCAGGUAGGGAUACCCGCUGAACUUAAGC